RNAcentral lists this ribosomal RNA (651 nucleotides) under Triticum aestivum (bread wheat). Its description in RNAcentral is "partial small subunit ribosomal RNA". Lineage: Eukaryota; Viridiplantae; Streptophyta; Magnoliopsida; Poales; Poaceae. The record is from RNAcentral.
AUGAGUUGGGAGGAGACGUCGUCGAGCUCCAAGGCGGCUGCUCCGCCGGCCAUCCGCCUCGUCAGCUUCGUCUCCGAGGAGCAGCUCGACGAGGCGAAGCGGUCGAGAGGGGAGCGGGUGGAAGACGGCACCGCCCAGCGCGACAAGCCCCUCUUCCAGAUCCUGCAGGAGAACAAGGAUAAGAAGGAUGCCGAGUUCAAUGAGCGCUUCAAGCACAGACCCCCAAAGGCUUUGGAUGAGGACGAGACAGAGUUUCUUGACAAAUUGGCUUUGUCAAGGAGAGAAUAUGACCAGCAGGUGGCCAAUGAAGAAGCUGAACAACUCCGUAGUUUCCACGAGGCCGUAGCUGCCCAGUCCACUAUUGCUCAUGAACUUGGUGAGAUGCCUACAGUCUCUAUGCCUGAGGAAAGCAAGCCUAAGCCACCUCCGAAGAGGAGCCAGCCUGAGUUCCUGAGAAAUAUUACAGUUUCCGUGAAGCCACGAGCCAAGAAGGCAAAAUCUGACUUGGAAUGUAAGCCCGCUCCCAAGGAGUUGGUGCCUUCGAAUGGGCAUGAUACAAACCGUGAGCCACAAGGUGACACCAAGAGCAGCGUGCUUGGCUCUCUGGCUGCAUACGGCGACGAGGACGAUGAAAGUGGCGAUGAACAAUGA